This 1154-nucleotide long non-coding RNA is filed under the name Suricata suricatta (meerkat). RNAcentral describes it as "lncRNA (ENSSSUG00005000201.1)". Lineage: Eukaryota; Metazoa; Chordata; Mammalia; Carnivora; Herpestidae. The record is from RNAcentral.
CAGGUCCCAGGAGCCCUGGAUGAUGGGCUUGGAGGACCCCUGGGGCCAGGCUCACAUUCUUACCUCAGCUGUAGGGAGGACAGUUUGUCCCAUGGGACUCCUCUGGGACUGGCACGCGUACAACAUCCAGGGGAUGGGCUGGUCAGAUCCCAGCUGGCCUCUCAUUGGUUCAUCUUUGACAGACCCAGGCGUGGCCUGGAGGCUCUGACUCUCUGCUGGGUGGAGACAUCAAUGUGGAAGGAGCCAGGGCGGGUGGGAGUGGGAGGGGAAUGUGUGGGUGAAAGUGUAUGGGAUUGCGUUGUGCGUUUCUUCCCCUGGAGCUGGGAGGUCUGGACACCUAGCCAGUGUGUGUGUCCAGGAUCAGGCUAUGAGAGUUUCCUCAGUAUCCCGGGUACCCAGCACGGCGACCAGCACAGUGAAGACACCAACUAACGUUCUUUGGCAGAACUGAAUGAACGGCUGUGUGAAUGAGUUUGCAGGGCAGACUGCCUGAGAGCCUCCCCACCAGCCACCGAGCCCAUAACGCUCGCAAGCCGUUUCCUGAUGAGUGUUUUCCCGUUUUAUGGAUCUUGGUAAUUUCGGUUGGUAUCAUGACAUGGAGGAGGAAAGAGAAUGCCUUUUCUGUCCUGCUGUGUGAAUGGCAGCCUGUGAGGGCCAAAUCUGCCGCUCCAGGAAGGGCCUUUUCAUUUUCCUCACCUGUUCUGAAGCUUGGACCGGCAGCUGAGUGAGGCCGAUGCCAGGACCCGUGAGGAGGUUGACUAAACAUGGACAAAUCUUAUUAAGGUCAUUAAGGAGCUGUAUUUACUCAGGAAUGAAUGUCAAGCCUGGGCUGGGUAGAUACUCCUUUGUUUUAAAAAUGGGUUGGAGGGGGAUUCUGGGGUGGGCAAAAUGGGUGAUGAGGGUCAAAAGAUACAGACUUCCUGUUAUAAAAUAAACAAAUCCUGGGAAUGUAAUGUACAGCAUGGUGAAUGCAGUUACUAAUACUGUAUCAGAUGUCUGAAUGUUGCUAAGAGUAAAUCCUCAAAAUUCUCACAAGAAAAGAAAUUUGUAACUACGUAGAGUGGUGGAUGGUAACUCGGAUUAUUGUGGUAAUCAUUUCACAAUACAUACGAAUUUCAAAUCAUUAUGUUGUACACCUGAAACUAAUAUAUAGC